CUUUAGUAAGAGGAAGAAACGAGAACGAAGAAGAAGAAGAAGAAGAGAGGAGAAGAAGAAAAGGGAAGAGAGAGAAUUGCGGUAGAGAUCGAUUUGCUUAGGAGAUUACAAGAGGAUUCAGCAAAAAGGAAUCCCAGAUAGCCGUGAGAUAGAUUCCUCGGGACCAGGAGAGAUUGUGGGCCCUGAUAUUCACUAUGAGGAGAGCAAUCAGCUGCAUGUUGAUAAUUCAGACCACGAUGACAUGGUUAUAGAUCAGUUUGCUUGUAUUCUGGAUUUUGAUGAUUUCAGCCAUGGGCAUGACUGCGAAUGUGAUGAUUGUGCAUACGAUGGACGGCAAUAUUAAGGACUGAUGUAUUUGAUUAUCCUUUUGUGUAUAUAUGUGGAUAAGUGUGAAAAAUCAGUUUUUGUUGAUACAGGUUGGAGGGUAAAACUACUGUUAGAAGAUAUUUUGUGUAAAUAUUUGUUUUAGAAUGGGAUGAAUGUA
Molecule: long non-coding RNA, 484 nt
Organism: Macadamia integrifolia
Lineage: Eukaryota; Viridiplantae; Streptophyta; Magnoliopsida; Proteales; Proteaceae
Exons: 3
Source: RefSeq, a predicted model, not a curated record